RNAcentral lists this long non-coding RNA (939 nucleotides) under Gossypium barbadense (sea-island cotton). RNAcentral's name for it is "long non-coding RNA (GBAR_LNC012914)". The record is from RNAcentral. Lineage: Eukaryota; Viridiplantae; Streptophyta; Magnoliopsida; Malvales; Malvaceae.
UCCUAUUAAAUUUUGAUAACAAAUAACCAUCAUUUAAAAAUAUUUUUGUUUAGGGUACUCUGAUCAUUUCAAUUUUUUUCUUAUAUACUAUUACAACUUUAUUCCAUUCAACCAAACAUAAUACUACUAUUAUACUUGUAAUGGGCCUAUUUUGCCUGGCCCAGACCCAAAUUAGAUAACUAAACCAAAUAAAUUAUUAAACAAGUUCAAGUUCAAGUUCAAGUCCAAUUGUUACAAGCCCAAAAUAACAAGAAAAGCCUAAUGGCCCACAUGGCCCAACAUUCAAGCUAGCAGGAAAUCCUAGUUUCCCUUAGCGCCGCACCCCCCACGUGCCUCGUCGGCACGUCCAACGCCUGAGGCUUGGCUCCUCUUGUCCCCUUGCACCAAAACGGAAGCCCCGCUCGUUGACCUUCCCCUCUAACCUGCAAACAGACCAAAAAAGGGAACAAAAACAACACAACACGCAAGGGCAACAGAGGCAAACAAAAUAUGUAUUCAGCUAUAUAGCCACAAGAACUUGAAAUGUAAUUUUUUACACGCAUAUUAAGCAAUCAAAAGUAAAAAACAGAAGAAGAAAAGGUUGAUUUUGAUUUCCAUUUCUCGUGUUCCUUUCGUUCUUUUUUUUAUUUUUGUUUUUAUUUUUUUGAUAAAUCUAUUUUAAACAAAAAAAAAUAAAAAAGAAUGAAACACUUACCUGAAUCGCCCUGGGGACGUGCGUUGAAGCCCCUCUCCGUCGUCGAAAUCGAGUCCAAAGAGAGAGGGGAGGCUUUCUUCUCUCGAGCUUUCGGGCUGAGAAGGCAUGGCCUUCGGGCACUUUAAAUGGGGGUUAAAACCCCCAUUUUCACGUGACUCCAACCAUUGCCCACAAUGGUGCCGCGACGAUGGCGGCGAUGAUGGGUUUCAAAACUAUAGAAAAAAGGGGGUUUCUGAAUUUUUUCC